This 485-nucleotide ribosomal RNA is filed under the name uncultured bacterium. RNAcentral describes it as "partial 16S ribosomal RNA". It matches the Rfam family "Bacterial small subunit ribosomal RNA", at positions 30 to 507 of the family's 1533-position model. The record is from RNAcentral.
AUUGAACGCUGGCGGCAGGCUUAACACAUGCAAGUCGAGCGGGGAAAGGUAGCUUGCUACCUGACCUAGCGGCGGACGGGUGAGUAAUGCUUAGGAAUCUGCCUAUUAGUGGGGGACAACAUCUCGAAAGGGAUGCUAAUACCGCAUACGUCCUACGGGAGAAAGCAGGGGACCUUCGGGCCUUGCGCUAAUAGAUGAGCCUAAGUCGGAUUAGCUAGUUGGUGGGGUAAAGGCCUACCAAGGCGACGAUCUGUAGCGGGUCUGAGAGGAUGAUCCGCCACACUGGGACUGAGACACGGCCCAGACUCCUACGGGAGGCAGCAGUGGGGAAUAUUGGACAAUGGGGGGAACCCUGAUCCAGCCAUGCCGCGUGUGUGAAGAAGGCCUUUUGGUUGUAGAGCACUUUAAGCGAGGAGGAGGCUACCGAGAUUAAUACUCUUGGAUAGUGGACGUUACUCGCAGAAUAAGCACCGGCUAACUCUGUG